GCUAGAAAUGAAGGCUGGAGGGGAUAAUUUGGAGGCCUUCCUAAAAUGGGGAGACUAAUAGAGGGCUUGCUAGAGUGCGUUUUUUUUAACUUGGCUCUCUAAACUUGAGGUAACGGGCUGUUUGGAGGGUUGGCUGGAGUUGAUGAAGAUGAAACUUGUCGGAAAUAAUUAGCCAUUUUACUUUAGAUUUUUAUAUUGAGUCGUGGAGAUAGAUUUGGUUACACCUGUUCUAGAGCCACAAAAAAUAUACAUUGCCGUAUCAUCUGGCUUCGAAAAUUC
RNAcentral lists this long non-coding RNA (279 nucleotides) under Setaria viridis. RNAcentral's name for it is "long non-coding RNA (SVIR_LNC006400)". Lineage: Eukaryota; Viridiplantae; Streptophyta; Magnoliopsida; Poales; Poaceae. The record is from RNAcentral.